Arabidopsis lyrata subsp. lyrata is the source of this 764-nucleotide long non-coding RNA. RefSeq lists it as uncharacterized. The record is from RefSeq and is a predicted model, not a curated record. The transcript has 3 exons. NCBI's taxonomy places the organism in Eukaryota, Viridiplantae, Streptophyta, Magnoliopsida, Brassicales, Brassicaceae.
UACUUUCCCUCUUUUGUCGCGAAACUUAACCAGUUAAGUCUACUGAGUUUACCUCUCAGAUCUAAGAGUUCUAUCGAAUCCCAGUGAGUUCUGUCAAAAACAAAAUCGAUUCCAAACCUAGCCAAAACCACUGACCUUGUCGUUGGCCAUAAAAUCGUGCUCCUCCGCAGACACAUUCUUCAGCGCCGCCGCCAGUGAGCUCAAAUCGAUUAAUCCUUUAUUCACUCUCACAUAUGGAUUCUCCUCAUCGUCUUCUCAGUCGUGCAUCUCUCCUCCUUCGUUGACACUUGCAACUCCAGCUCUUCAUUUCACCUUCACAUCUUCUUCUUCUUUAUAUCUCUCAUCUCACUUUCCUUCCUCUCAAUCUUCUACUUCGUCUUUUCCUUUUCUCGCUUCCUUUGUGUCUUUCUAUCUCUCUCUCUCUCUCUCUCUCUAGCUUCCUCCGUCACUUUUACUUAUCAUUACCCUAAUUUUGCAAGGCGUAUCAAUUGAAAUUGAAAAGUUUUGGAAUUGGUUGGAAACGCAGCGAGGGAUAACGAGAAGACUAGGUUGGUGCCACGUCACAUUAAUCUUGCGGUGUGGAACGAUGAUGAGCCGAGCAAGUUGCAAAGAGUUCUUUGUGCACACAAGGUGUUCGACGAUUUGACUGUGAGACGGAAACCAAGAAUAUUAAAGUAACUGACAAUGUCAACGAGAAUGUUAAAGUAACUAACUUGGAUUUGGUUCAAUAUUCGCUAAGGAAGAAUGUUGGUGGCUGAGAGAUG